UUCAGGUAGUUGUAGAGAGUGAGCAGGUCUCCUCUGAGCACAACAUUUGUCUGACAGUUUUCAUCUGUUGCCACAGAGACAAUUACUUACCCAUGUCAUUAUUAAUCUGCCAACAGUAAGAGUAAUUUUGCAGUCUGAUAUUGUUUAGCGAGUACAGUAACACCUGUUGAACACUUAAAAACUGCCAUAAAC
Colius striatus (speckled mousebird) is the source of this 192-nucleotide non-coding RNA. The record is from Rfam. Lineage: Eukaryota; Metazoa; Chordata; Aves; Coliiformes; Coliidae.